RNAcentral lists this ribosomal RNA (253 nucleotides) under uncultured bacterium. RNAcentral describes it as "partial 16S ribosomal RNA". It matches the Rfam family "Bacterial small subunit ribosomal RNA", at positions 524 to 776 of the family's 1533-position model. The record is from RNAcentral.
UACGAAGGGGGCUAGCGUUGCUCGGAAUCACUGGGCGUAAAGGGUGCGUAGGCGGGUCUUUAAGUCAGGGGUGAAAGCCCGGGGCUCACCCCCGGAAGUGCAUUGGAUACUGGCGGACUCGAGUCUCGGAGAGGAGGGUGGAAUUCCUGGUGUAGCGGUGAAAUGCGUAGAUAUCAGGAGGAACACCGGUGGCGAAGGCGGCCCUCUGGACGAUGACUGACGCUGAGACGCGAAAGCGUGGGGAGCAAACAGG